This 248-nucleotide unclassified non-coding RNA is filed under the name Hevea brasiliensis (rubber tree). The record is from RNAcentral. Lineage: Eukaryota; Viridiplantae; Streptophyta; Magnoliopsida; Malpighiales; Euphorbiaceae.
UUCAUUAUUCUGCUAACGUUAGCGAUGGGUAAGAACCUAUCCUGUUCGCGAGCCGACAGCUCGCUGUUCGUGUUGCUGUUGUUGUGCCCACCUGAUUCAUUGUCUGAAUCCGCCAUUAAAAUCAAAAUUCAAGAAAAAUAAAACCUAGUUAGAUCUCAAAAAUCUCAAACUUUCACCAGUGGUUUUAGAGGAUGUAAGGGGUAUAAGAGGGUGGGGAAGGGGUAAAUUGGGAAACGAAGAAAAUCGCC